AAAGAAGAGUAGCAUGUUAUUCAGAUUAUGAGGGUGAGCAGACCAUAUAUUCAUUCAGCCAAGAAUACUCAUUUAGCCAGUCACAACCAGGGGGUUCACAAGCUUCACAAACAAUAACUAGCCAAGCCUUACAGGACCUAGCAAUGGCUAGAAGGAUGCAAAGGAGAAAAUAGUUGAAAGUUGCUUUGUACCUGAUUAAUGGAAGGUGAUGAAGUUGAUUUUUUUUUGCUGCUGAUGGA
This is a long non-coding RNA of Beta vulgaris subsp. vulgaris (sugar beet), 239 nucleotides long. RefSeq lists it as uncharacterized. NCBI's taxonomy places the organism in Eukaryota, Viridiplantae, Streptophyta, Magnoliopsida, Caryophyllales, Amaranthaceae. The transcript is spliced from 3 exons. The record is from RefSeq and is a predicted model, not a curated record.